GAGUUUGAUCAUGGCUCAGAUUGAACGCUGGCGGCAGGCCUAACACAUGCAAGUCGAGCGGUAGAGAGGAGCUUGCUUCUCUUGAGAGCGGCGGACGGGUGAGUAAUGCCUAGGAAUCUGCCUAGUGGUGGGGGAUAACGUUCGGAAACGGACGCUAAUACCGCAUACGUCCUACGGGAGAAAGCGGGGGAUCUUCGGACCUCGCGCCAUUAGAUGAGCCUAGGUCGGAUUAGCUAGUUGGUGAGGUAAUGGCUCACCAAGGCGACGAUCCGUAACUGGUCUGAGAGGAUGAUCAGUCACACUGGAACUGAGACACGGUCCAGACUCCUACGGGAGGCAGCAGUGGGGAAUAUUGGACAAUGGGCGAAAGCCUGAUCCAGCCAUGCCGCGUGUGUGAAGAAGGUCUUCGGAUUGUAAAGCACUUUAAGUUGGGAGGAAGGGUCGUAACCUAAUACGUUACGGCUUUGACGUUACCGACAGAAUAAGCACCGGCUAACUUCGUGCCAGCAGCCGCGGUAAUACGAAGGGUGCAAGCGUUAAUCGGAAUUACUGGGCGUAAAGCGCGCGUAGGUGGUUCAGCAAGUUGGAUGUGAAAGCCCUGGGCUCAACCUGGGAACUGCAUCCAAAACUACUGAGCUAGAGUACGGUAGAGGGUAGUGGAAUUUCCUGUGUAGCGGUGAAAUGCGUAGAUAUAGGAAGGAACACCAGUGGCGAAGGCGACUACCUGGACUGAUACUGACACUGAGGUGCGAAAGCGUGGGGAGCAAACAGGAUUAGAUACCCUGGUAGUCCACGCCCGUAACGAUGUCGACUAGCCGUUGGGAUCCUUUGAGAUCUAGUGGCGCAGCUAACGCAUUAAGU
Molecule: ribosomal RNA, 861 nt
Filed under: uncultured bacterium
Lineage: Bacteria
Description: bacterial SSU rRNA
Rfam family: Bacterial small subunit ribosomal RNA
Source: RNAcentral